Molecule: non-coding RNA, 83 nt
Organism: Lentinus tigrinus ALCF2SS1-7
Lineage: Eukaryota; Fungi; Basidiomycota; Agaricomycetes; Polyporales; Polyporaceae
Source: the annotation of a GenBank genome assembly
UCCCUGGUAGUAUAUCGGUUAGUACACGCGCCUGUCAUGUAAACUGACCGCGCGAAAGCGGGGUUCGACUCCCCGCCAGGGAG